CAUAUACUGUACAUGUAUAUGACUUACACUGUCCAGUCUUGCGCAAGGUCACUUCAUGCCCUUUGACACACGUACUAAGCUAGUGGUCAGCACACAGCAUAUACUGUACAUGUAAAUAUGACCUUGCCUCAACCAGAAAAACCGUUAGGCCACAUUGCGCUAGCCUGCAUGCAGUUCAGUUCUACUACUCAUUCAAAAUGGUUAAAGACGGAGCAGGCACAAAUGUACAUCGUCUUCUCGAAAAAACACUGAUUACAUGUAUUGUAUUCAGUUCCAAAUCCGCGUCCAAAAGCAUCACACAUGUCUGUAAACAUACAGCUUAUUAGUCAGAGUUAAUAUUCCUGCAGCACCAUGGUCUUUGCGGAAUGGGAGAGAAUUUGGACAGAACCUUUCGUUUCUGGAGCCCUGUUCUUUCAAACCUACAGUUUGUUGUAGGCCUUACUGGGAGCCAUGGACACAACGGAACAGUCAAUCGAUACGUGAGGAGAGGAGUUAACUUGCAACAGAGACCGGUGCGACAGUGACGGGAAAAGGCUCAGGAGACACUGAAGAAGCACGUGUAUAUAUAGGAACAAUCUGCAGCAAAUUAAGUGACUCAGAGUGUAAUUGUUAUAACCAUUUGAAGCACGCAAACUGGAUAUCAAAACAGUGACGUUAUUUCUGCAAGGCUUCAGUGUUACAGCUUUGAUGUUUUUCAUCUUUGAUUCGAUAAAACUUGACCAGUACAUGAAAGUUCUGUGCUUCUCAGGACCUGUUUCCCCAGGUCUGUACAUUUCUCCAUUUUUUUGUCAAUAUUAUGAUGAUCUGAGACUGAAUGUUAUUUGCCCUGGAUUUAUCAAGCCAUUGAAGUUUCCUGUAAAUUUACUCACCGAAAUAUUGAGACGAGUUUCAUAAUUUAAACGAAUAGGCUAGCUUUACUGUUUUAGCGUGGAUUGUGGCCUAAUUAUGAAACGAGAGGCAUUAAACUCAAACCAAAACCUUCCCUCUUUUAUCCUCAACAUUCAAAUUUACAUGUAAGU
Molecule: long non-coding RNA, 1019 nt
Filed under: Patiria miniata (bat star)
Lineage: Eukaryota; Metazoa; Echinodermata; Asteroidea; Valvatida; Asterinidae
Description: uncharacterized LOC119745844
Source: RNAcentral